UUUUAUAAAUCACAAUAUGUGCGUGGAAAAUUGCGUACGCAUGUUUCUAUUCCCAUUUUGUGCGUACGCAACGUUUAUAAAUGAGACCCCAGUGUAGGAGCCAUGUAAUGGGAAAAUCAUGUGAUCUAAUGUUUAUGGGAGUGUCAUUCAUUAAGUGGGGUUAAAAACACCUGUGGGGUGUGUGCGGGAGGAAGGGAAGAAUGGGGGUGAGUGCUGCAGCACAUAUUUUGUUGACAGUACAAGCCUGUACAAACCUGUACAAAUAAAACAACAGUUAAGCUUUUAAGGAAACGUGUCACGAAAGUUAUUCCUCCACUCAGCUCCUUAGCGGUCUUUGGAUUGUUCUUUAUAUGCCGCUACAUGAUAGUCAACAAAAUUGUUUGUUUGAGAACGUGAAAGCGUCUACUUUGGAUUCAGGAGCCAGGCCCUCACGCUUAGACUGGACGGAAAGGAAGAGCAGGCUGCGCAGCGCCGACUGAAGGGGAUUUACACGCUUGUGUUAACAAGAAGGAUCAUUGCACAUUGGACUUCCAAAGCAAGGGGACCGACGUCUUUGGAUACGUUCGCUGCUAAUAAUCAUCACACAAUUGGACGUUCAAGGCAGCAGGAUUGACAGAGCUGGACGGAACAACAAGAGCAGUAAGUGUGGAUUCAGAGGAGGAACUGAAGAACAUGACUGUUGAAGAGUUCAUAAGAAGAUUCAAUCCCGAAGACAAAUGGGACUUCAGAUUUAUCUUCGAGGGCAGACAGCUGGAGGAUGGUCGUACACUUGGUUCUUAUGGCAUAAAUGACUGUUCUACUAUUCAUGCAGUUCAGUGUCUACGUGGUGGAGACCCAAGCUGUGCACCUGAAGAUGGAGAUGAAGGAAUGCCCAGGACUGAAUCAAUGGAAGUAUUAGCUGAAAUGCAGAAAUGCCAAAAAAUAAAUGAAUAACUUCCCUUCAGUGCAGCGUCCAUAAAGUACACAGAUGCUCUUCUCUAUUGACUGUAUUCUCUUGUGUCAUAGAAUAUUUUACUUUUACUUAAGAGGCUGAAAUCAGAACAUAAUACAUGAUAUUGAAAUUAUGGUAGUAAAUUUGAACAAAAUAUGAAAAAACAGUGUUUAAAUAAAUUAAAGUCUCCGUUCUGUCCUUUUACGCUG
Molecule: long non-coding RNA, 1140 nt
Organism: Cyprinus carpio (common carp)
Lineage: Eukaryota; Metazoa; Chordata; Actinopteri; Cypriniformes; Cyprinidae
Source: Ensembl